Molecule: transfer RNA, 88 nt
Filed under: Actinoplanes oblitus
Lineage: Bacteria; Bacillati; Actinomycetota; Actinomycetes; Micromonosporales; Micromonosporaceae
Description: Actinoplanes sp. NRRL 3884 tRNA-Arg
Source: RNAcentral
GCACCCGAGUGGUUACGGAGCGUACUAGUGACCACCAGUCGUCUGACUACGGAUCAGAAGGUUAGGGGUUCGAGUCCCUUCGGGCGCA